UGCAUGAUUCACUUAAGAACUAUGGGGAAAACAGGGGUGAAAUGCUCCUGGUUUGGACCGGAUCGGGCGAUCCCGUAGCGAUGGGGGUGGGUAGUUCAGAGAAUCGGUAGCAAAAAUUCCUGGCCCCCACGCCCAUGCCUACCCAAUUGCCCGGUACCCACUUGGCAGCUUGCUGCUUCUUUCGGGCUCGCUCGCUUUUCCUGCCUUGCUUCGGUUGCUGCAAUCAAUUGCAUCAGCUAGCAACUCAAUCUGCCUGCCGGCAAUCCAUCUCAUCAGUGAGCAACUCAAUCUGCCUGCCUUGUCCCUUCAAUUGGUUGAAAUGAUUGAAGCAAAUAUGGUUCUAGCCCAAGUGUGAUCCCCAAACAAUGAAGAGAAGCAGAGCAUUUUGUCAAGUUACCUGCUUUGCACUGCGCUCAAAGACUACGUAUUGCUGACACUGAUCCAGUCGCCUUUUCUUCAACGUCCAAAAGUGAAGAACACGAUUUUCCCUCUGCAGCAGUUCACUCAGAAUGGCUAUGGAUGGAAAAAGAGAAGAACUGUUUCCUUAGCUGGUUUGGUAAGCACAGCCAGAAAUAGGCAUGCAAACAUGUACUGUACAUUUCUAGUAUUACUGAAAAACUCAGCCAACGAAGAAAUAUUUAAGCGUGUCAGUUUUACAUUUUCAACCUCUUAAAUGUGAAUAAAUACACAAAUGUUUGGAACACUCAUUCCUAAACUACAUAGUGAUUACUGUAGUAACAUGAUAUGCCCUUUAUCUUUGUAGCUUUAAAAGUAA
Ahaetulla prasina is the source of this 775-nucleotide long non-coding RNA. RefSeq lists it as uncharacterized. The record is from RefSeq and is a predicted model, not a curated record. The transcript is spliced from 4 exons. NCBI's taxonomy places the organism in Eukaryota, Metazoa, Chordata, Lepidosauria, Squamata, Colubridae.